This 442-nucleotide ribosomal RNA is filed under the name uncultured bacterium. RNAcentral describes it as "partial 16S ribosomal RNA". It matches the Rfam family "Bacterial small subunit ribosomal RNA", at positions 338 to 795 of the family's 1533-position model. The record is from RNAcentral.
CCUACGGGAGGCAGCAGUAGGGAAUCUUUCACAAUGGGCGAAAGCCUGAUGGAGCAACGCCGCGUGCAGGAUGAAGGCCUUCGGGUUGUAAACUGCUUUUAUAAUCGAGAAAUAUGAUGGUAACUUAUGAAUAAGGAUCGGCUAACUACGUUCCAGCAGCCGCGGUCAUACGUAGGAUCCGAGCAUUAUCCGGAGUGACUGGGUGUAAAGAGUUGCGUAGGUGGCAUAAUAAGUAGCUAGUGAAAUCUGGUGGCUCAACCAUUAAGACUAUUAGCUAAACUGUUAAGCUUGAGACCGUUAGGGGUAACUGGAAUUUCUAGUGUAGGAGUGAAAUCCGUAGAUAUUAGAAGGAACACCAAUAGCGUAGGCAGGUUACUGGGACGGUUCUGACACUAAGGCACGAAAGCGUAGGGAGCAAACGGGAUUAGAUACCCUAGUAGUC